GGGGCCGACUGGUUUUGACAGCAAGACCAAUGGUUAUGUAAGCAUGCCGAGCUAUGGGAAUGAUGCUCGUAAAUUCAAUAUCCCAACCUUUUAAAUGGCGAGUCUAACUACGCUUUAGCUGCCUAAUUGACUGAAUUACAGUAAGUCAUGGCCUAGUCCCGCAAGGCGGGAAAGCUAAAUGCCCCCUAGUAGCCCUUGUUGACGGCGACUAAUAUCGGGGCACCAUAAAAGUCAACACCGGACUUUCGUAGCUUCGGCGGAAGUCUCAAAUCAAAGAAGCUAAGUGCACAAUGGGCGGUCUCUGGUCAGUUGUGCAUCGAAAACCGAACAGGGACUAAGCAUGUAGAAAGCAUGGCGAUUGCUUGUUUGGACGAGGGUUCGAAUCCCUCCGGCUCCACUU
Molecule: non-coding RNA, 400 nt
Rfam family: transfer-messenger RNA
About the family: Bacterial tmRNA, also known as 10Sa RNA or SsrA, is named for its dual tRNA and mRNA-like properties. Its role is to liberate the mRNA from a stalled ribosome.
Source: Rfam